This 1346-nucleotide long non-coding RNA is filed under the name Sparus aurata (gilthead seabream). RNAcentral describes it as "lncRNA (ENSSAUG00010002047.1)". Lineage: Eukaryota; Metazoa; Chordata; Actinopteri; Spariformes; Sparidae. The record is from RNAcentral.
UCCUCUCACCUCAUCAUUCCACAAAACUGAACUACUUACUAACUAAGUUUAAGAAAAUAUUGUGGCUUGGCUUAAAAUAACCAUGCUACUUAUCUGACUAUUGUUACAAACGUACCACUGUUACACACGCAACGGCAGUAAUUUAUGUGGCAUAGUUUAACUAUGUUAGAACGUUAGAAUGACUCACCAUCUUAUUUUUGUUUCACACAUGACAGGAACAGCUGCCUCCUGAGAGUUCUGUGCUUGUUUGACCCAAUCAAGCAUCCGCGGCUUACUCAUGUGGGCUGUCUCGCUCUUUAUACUACUUCACCUGACUUCCUCCUUUGCCGCUGUAAUAACAACCAUGGCCACUAGAGGUCGCCCCCUAUCAAGAAACAUACAUGUGGGUUGUGAGAAGCUGCUUUCAAUCUAUAGCGGUGUUCUUCAGGAGCCCUGCAGCUGAAGCAGAAGUCCCAGAAGCCUCACCAUAGUUUCCUGCCUCCUCUGGAUCCUAUUGUGGUCCUCACCACCAAUCCCAGGCUCUGCAGGCCAGUCCAGUGCUCACUAACACUAAAGCCUGUAGGUUACACCAGCGCUGUAGUACACCCCUGUGUUUUAUUACACGUAGUGUUGCAAAAUGUAAUAAAAUAACGUCUUCACAUCAGGUAAACCCCUCCCAUUCCCCAUACAAACGGAUGCAUCAAAUAAGGGGAACAGGAAGAUGUUUCCCCUUGUUGUACAAGACUUGAGGCCAGAAAGUGGUAUCACCAACAAAAUGCCAUAGAGAAUACGGAUGAGUCAGCUGCUGGGAUUAUAUGCAUACAACAAUCAUUAGAUAUAGGUUUAUAUUGCAGACAACACUAAUGUCAAUUAUGGAGACCACAACUUCGUGUUCACCAACCUGAAGAAAAAGUUACAUAUUACGCAAAACACAGUAAAGCAGGCUCUUGACCAGCUCACUGUAGAUGUUGCAAAAGUUGUGCUGGGGAUCUAUGGCUUCUUCUGCUCAGUGAAGACUCGGCUAAGGAAAAUGUUGCUGCAAGAGGGAGGAGAGAAGUCUGUUGACUGUUUAACCAUAGUUUACUGCUCCACACAGACAUGAAAAAAACCUUUGUGAUAAACAGAUGACUUUGUGGGAGAGGGAUGAGAGAAGGAGGAAUGUUUUACACUUUAAAUGUUUCAUGAAUUGUUAUUUGCACACUCAGAAUUUGUUUUAGGUUUCUUUCAUUUGUGGUGAAAAAGAAAACAUGGAGGGAUAUGAAAAUACUGACAUGAAAAGUCUUGUGUGGACAAGGAGCAUCACCAUUCUGAGAUUAUUUUCAAUGAUUAUUCCUUCUCUGAAAGUCCUUCUGUUCUCCUGCACUUCU